UAGAGGAUGUGAACGACAGUGACAUCCUAAUGCAGGAGUAGCAGCGACGACGGCUGGUGAGCAGCAACCUGAGGUGCCGGUGUUAAGCGCGGAUGGCCAGAUCUGUGCGGCGGAGGGCGUGGCCAAUGCUAGGAUGGAGGUCUUGCUUCCGGCCAACAAGUAGUCGGUAGGCGCAAUGGAUCCUAAAGCUCCAGGCUGGAUCAAAAGGGUGAGGAUUGGGGUGGAAGCACCUGUGAGGACACCUUGUCCCAGUCAAGCACGAGCUGGCGGAGGUGACGCCGCAUAUGUUAUCCAGGAUCCUGCUCGGGGGUUUAGCCAUCGGCGACGAGAUCCAAAAGAUGGCCACGGCGGCAGUGGUGGCGGCAGUUGCCCCGGGUGGUGAUGUAGAGGGGAGGUACCAGUAGCAGGUUGUGGCCAAAAACCCUAUUGCUAGCACUUGCAGGAAAGCUCAACAAAAACCAAAAGGCGCGGCCGUUGGUGGCUUUCUGGUGGUACCUCAAGGAGACCUUCUUCCAAGGUGACCCAUUCCAUGUGGCGGUGCCGGUGCGUGAGCGAGCUGCUAGACCGCACGUGGCGGCGGCGCUUCGAUACUUCUUCCCGUUCCUGGAGUGGGCGCCAGCCUACGGCCUGGGCACCUCAAGUCGGACCUCAUCGCCGGUACUUCUUCUGGUUCCUUGAAGUUUGAUAUCCAUGCCCCCCUUGUUAGAGCGGUGGAGAGAGAUGCGACAUGGAGUGAGGGAAUUGUCGGCACCGGCAUAAGAGGUUGAUCUCCGCCCCGGUUUCCUCUAUGAUUACAUCAAGGAUGUAUUUUGUUGCUUGUUGGUUCUGUGUGUGGGAGCUCGAUGAUUGGGGGAGUUUAGAUCUGUGGUUUCAUUCUCAAAUUCUAUCCGUAUGGAUUGAGAUAGAGAUGAGAAGGUAGGUCCCUUGUUCAUGUAGGUUUUCUCUGUACCACUAAAUGUUUUUUUGAUUUUUUCCAUGUAGGUUCUCUCUGAUUUUGCAUUAGUCUAUACGUUCUUAGUCUUCAUUCUUUUAUUUUCAGUUUAUGAGAUUUUAGUAUUUGAUUCACUUAUUCUAGGUUUGGCAGGUAUUCAGUAUAUCUGUUCUUAUUAUUCAAUUUUUUAUUUCUCAGAUUAGGAUUUUAGUACCUUUUCUUUUAUUAGUCAUCAGUUUUCUUCUUUAUUCAAUCAUAUUCAGCCUUAGUUCUUGUUCAGUCUUUCUUUAACUUCUUUUGUCCUUAGUCUCCAGUUUUCCUCUUUCUUCAGUCAUAUUCAGUCACACUUUGUUCAGUCUUUCAUUAUCUACUUCAGUCUGUAGUACUCCUUGUGCAUAUAUACUUUGUUUUGCUCAUUCUUCUUUCUUAGCUUUGUUCUCUCAUUUUGUAUCGGCACAACCAAUAAUUCACAAGAUCAUCUAAUCCACAUAGGCAAAGGAAGAUUUUUCGUAGUAAAAUUCAGUAUAGUGGAGGGAAAGGAAGGUUUUUCGUUGUAAAAUUCACUACACUAGAGGGAAAAAGUUUCAAUGUUAUUAUCUAAUUGUUUCAUGGUUUUCUUAGUCAUGACUUUCUUUUCUCUACCAGCUUUAGGGGAGGUCCAUCUAAUUUGACUUUGCCCUGGGCUGUCUGCAGGUGGGCUAAACAACCAGAUUUGGUGGAUUAGUUGGACUUGUAAAUAUUUUUUUUCUGAUCCCAACACACUUUAUAUAGAGAAAUAGUAUUUCUUCAUAUUGUUACUUUUUUGUUUGCUUUUGUGCUUAUUGCUCAUAAUGUUAAAUGUUUGUUAGGCUGCCAACAUAUAUUAUUAGCACAUUGUAGUUCUUUUCAGUAAAUCUUCAAUAUCUUCUUUCUCUGGUCACCUUCAGUGCACAUGUUUCUUCAUUAUUUCAGUAACUACCUUCUCAUUGUUCCGCCUUCAUUUCUCAAAUCCAUGCUUAUCAGUUAUCCCUCUGUAUGCAUCAGUGAUCAAUAUUUCUCUUCAGCCUCAUUAUUUCUUUUCGAGAGUACGCCAAAGGCUUACCUUAGCUUUAUAGAAGGAAGGAAUAAUAUUUACAAGUCAGCCUCAUUAUUUCAUUAAGUCCCUGCUCUACCCAGCCUUCAUAAAUUCAAUAUGCCCCUGCGCAUUAUGUAUAGACUUUUUUGAGCAUUCUUAUUUUUUAUCUUUUUGUUUCACCAGGAGGUUUUAUUACUAACCAGAUGAAUUUUCUUCUCCCACUUCUUCAAGGAAGAACAAGGUUCCAACUUCAUUUUAGCGCACGUUGUUUCAGAUGUGUUAUGUAAUAGUACUACAUAGAAGAGUUUUUUGCUUCAAGAAGUGUUAUGUUAUUACUAUGUAUUUUCUGAAAAUAGGUCGUUCUGUUCUGUUUUUUUUUCACUAGACAUGAUGCUAUUUGUGCUUCUUUAGCAGUGACACCAUAGUCAGUUUGCAUUUUCUGUCUUUUAGCUACCCUAAGCCUUUGAUUUGUUUGUACCAUUAGGCUGUAGGGAAAUAUUACUAUAUGUAACAUGUAUUUUCUUUUGUUCUUAUAAGAUGUUGUUUCUCAUUUCUGAAAUUUAUUUCUUGAUGUAGCUUCAUUCGGAUUUAUGUGAAUAUAAGCGUAAGAGAUCCACUGGGAAUGAUACAAAAUAAUUUCAGACGUGAGUAUCCGGAUCGCAUUGCUACUGGUUGUCUCUUGCGAUUGCGUACAGCAGGCUUUUGACAAAGCCAAGUCAUCGCCUCAUGAGGAUGCUUUUGGAUUAACUGUAGUGCAUUGUACCGUUUUAUGCUCCAUGCGAGAGUUGUACAUAUCCUCAUUAGAUGUAUCCCUGCCUAUGAUGGUUCUAAACUCAAAUAUUAUAGUAUCUGUAUAUUUGAUCAAUGUGGUACUAUUAUAUCCUAAUGUUAUAACAUAUAUGCCCGUAUUGAUAUACAUG
Triticum urartu is the source of this 2905-nucleotide non-coding RNA. NCBI's taxonomy places the organism in Eukaryota, Viridiplantae, Streptophyta, Magnoliopsida, Poales, Poaceae. The record is from RefSeq and is a predicted model, not a curated record.